This 429-nucleotide ribosomal RNA is filed under the name Chloroflexota bacterium. Its description in RNAcentral is "Chloroflexi bacterium partial 16S ribosomal RNA". It matches the Rfam family "Bacterial small subunit ribosomal RNA", at positions 355 to 776 of the family's 1533-position model. Lineage: Bacteria; Bacillati; Chloroflexota. The record is from RNAcentral.
UGGGGAAUAUUGCACAAUGGGCGCAAGCCUGAUGCAGCCAUGCCGCGUGUGUGAAGAAGGCCUUCGGGUUGUAAAGCACUUUCAGCGGGGAGGAAGGCGAUAAGGUUAAUAACCUUGUCGAUUGACGUUACCCGCAGAAGAAGCACCGGCUAACUCCGUGCCAGCAGCCGCGGUAAUACGGAGGGUGCAAGCGUUAAUCGGAAUUACUGGGCGUAAAGCGCACGCAGGCGGUCUGUCAAGUCGGAUGUGAAAUCCCCGGGCUAAAGCUGGGAACUGCAUGCGAAACUGGCAGGCUAGAGUCUGGGAGAGGGGGGUAGAAUUCCAGGUGUAGCGGUGAAAUGCGUAGAGAUCUGGAGGAAUACCGGUAGCGAAGGCGGCCCCCUGGACAAAGACUGACGCUCAGGUGCGAAAGCGUAGGGAGCAAACAGG